Molecule: ribosomal RNA, 468 nt
Filed under: uncultured bacterium
Lineage: Bacteria
Description: partial 16S ribosomal RNA
Rfam family: Bacterial small subunit ribosomal RNA
Source: RNAcentral
GACGAACGCUGGCGGCGUGCUUAACACAUGCAAGUCGAACGGAAAGGCCCUGCUUUUGUGGGGUGCUCGAGUGGCGAACGGGUGAGUAACACGUGAGUAACCUGCCCUUGACUUUGGGAUAACUUCAGGAAACUGGGGCUAAUACCGGAUAGGAGCUCCUGCUGCAUGGUGGGGGUUGGAAAGUUUCGGCGGUUGGGGAUGGACUCGCGGCUUAUCAGCUUGUUGGUGGGGUAGUGGCUUACCAAGGCUUUGACGGGUAGCCGGCCUGAGAGGGUGACCGGCCACAUUGGGACUGAGAUACGGCCCAGACUCCUACGGGGGGCAGCAGUGGGGAAUAUUGCACAAUGGGCGGAAGCCUGAUGCAGCAACGCCGCGUGCGGGAUGACGGCCUUCGGGUUGUAAACCGCUUUCACCUAUGACGAAGCGUGAGUGACGGUAAUGGGUAAAGAAGCACCGGCUAACUACGUG